GGUAGUCCACCAAAGGGGGACAUCUUGAAGAGAAGCAGCUMGACCUAGUGAUCCAGUUGUUGAUUUUGGUCAUCACCUGUGAGGCCAGCAUCCAAGCAUAAGAGGAAUCUAGGAGCUGUAUCAAAAAGAGAUGGAACCAAUGAUAGCAAAUGCUGACAAAGAGACAAGCUGGACAAGCAGUUUUUUGGUGAUUAAUACCGAAGGGACGGGAUGAAACAAGGAAGUAAAAAUGCAGUUUAGCGGACCCUUGAUCUCACCAGAAACUGCUGCAGCAGGAGGUGCUGUGGCAUGGGUAACUAAGCAGACCGGGGUGGAACUUACUGGAAAGGAGUCAGGAACGGAACAAGGAACGUGACGCUGCUUUCACUGGACUGGAAGAAGUGGCUGUAAAAUCUGCUGCCCUCAAAUUCCCAGGACAAGGCAAGCCUUUUUCAGUAAUGCUUUCCACAUCUGCUGAGUCCAUGGGAGCAGCACCGUUAGAAAACAGCGGUAAGGGAAAGUGGGUGCCAGCAGCAGCAUCCUUGCAUCCCCUUUGGGGCCAGAACACAAAUUCUCCUUCUGUGAGAAAGACUGUUUAGCAGCAGUCUGGGCUGUAACUGUCUUUGAGACUUUUCCCUUUGAGAGCACAGAGGCAAUCCAAUCUGCUCAAUUCCCUCUGUAGUAGCUAAUGUCAGGGAAGCA
RNAcentral lists this long non-coding RNA (681 nucleotides) under Apteryx owenii (little spotted kiwi). Its description in RNAcentral is "lncRNA (ENSAOWG00000006274.1)". The record is from RNAcentral. Lineage: Eukaryota; Metazoa; Chordata; Aves; Apterygiformes; Apterygidae.